UACGUAGGGUGCAAGCGUUGUCCGGAAUUAUUGGGCGUAAAGAGCUCGUAGGCGGUUUGUCGCGUCUGCUGUGAAAACCUAAGGCUCAACCUUGGGCUUGCAGUGGGUACGGGCAGACUAGAGUGUGGUAGGGGAGACUGGAAUUCCUGGUGUAGCGGUGAAAUGCGCAGAUAUCAGGAGGAACACCGAUGGCGAAGGCAGGUCUCUGGGCCACUACUGACGCUGGAGAAAGCGAAAGCGUGGGGAGCGAACAGG
Molecule: ribosomal RNA, 255 nt
Filed under: uncultured bacterium
Lineage: Bacteria
Description: partial 16S ribosomal RNA
Rfam family: Bacterial small subunit ribosomal RNA
Source: RNAcentral